GCCCUUUCCUUCGCCCAAGGAAAACACUAUAUCAGCCAUGCCGGUCUUCGGGCCGGCUAUGGCGAUAAACGAGCGAUGUAAUAAACCUAUUGGACCCGGGGGCGGUACCCGGCGCCUCCACCAAAAACCGGCCAGGCGAGCUUUGCUUCAGACCGGCUUUUGAUGGGGGCGAAAUAGGAUCGACAAGGGCGUAAAGAUCGACUUUUUGCUCGGCAUUGUACCACCGUUAUCGGGCUAAAAUUGUAGUUGCAAACGACAACUAUGCGGAAGCUCGUCUCGCUGCCUAACGGUGGUGUGACACUUCAAAUCAAGUCCUGAAGGUUCGCACCUUAAGGCGGGGUUCGAAGGUACCUGGCAACAGAAACCUUCACC
Agrobacterium radiobacter is the source of this 372-nucleotide non-coding RNA. NCBI's taxonomy places the organism in Bacteria, Pseudomonadati, Pseudomonadota, Alphaproteobacteria, Hyphomicrobiales, Rhizobiaceae. The record is from Rfam.